Molecule: transfer RNA, 360 nt
Filed under: uncultured Microcystis sp.
Lineage: Bacteria; Bacillati; Cyanobacteriota; Cyanophyceae; Chroococcales; Microcystaceae
Description: partial 16S-23S ribosomal RNA intergenic spacer
Rfam family: tRNA (bases 136-209)
Source: RNAcentral
AAAGGGAGACCUAAUUCAGGUAUGAGACGAAAAAAAAGUAGUCCCUACCAAGAAUCAAUCCCAAAAGGUCGGAGCGAGGCGAAAUUGGCUUUCAAACUAGGUUCUGGGUUCAAACAAGACCUGAAUCAGGAACAAGGGCUAUUAGCUCAGGUGGUUAGAGCGCACCCCUGAUAAGGGUGAGGUCCCUGGUUCGAGUCCAGGAUGGCCCACCUGCACAGGUGGCAAAAACAAAGAAGCGAGGAAUCAGCACCUUAUCUUACUGACAUAGUAAGAGAGAAUGCUGGCUCUGAGUACAGAGUCCAGAGGAACCUUGAAAACUGCAUAGAGCUAGGUGAAAAAGCCAAAAAAGAAGACCGCAAG